UAUGCCCUGGAGACUGCAGAGAAAUG
This 26-nucleotide non-coding RNA is filed under the name Homo sapiens (human). Lineage: Eukaryota; Metazoa; Chordata; Mammalia; Primates; Hominidae. The record is from RNAcentral.